GGGGAAUUUUGGACAAUGGGGGGAACCCUGAUCCAGCCAUGCCGCGUGUGUGAAGAAGGCCUUAUGGUUGUAAAGCACUUUAAGCGAGGAGGAGGCCCUUUGUGUUAAUACCCAAGAUGAGUGGACGUUACUCGCAGAAUAAGCCCCGGCCAACUUCGUGCCAGCAGCCGCGGUAAUACGAAGGGUGCAAGCGUUACUCGGAAUUACUGGGCGUAAAGCGUGCGUAGGUGGUGGUUUAAGUCCGUUGUAAAGCCCUGGGCUCAACCUGGGAACUGCAGUGGAUACUGGAUCACUAGAGUGUGGCAGAGGGUAGUGGAAUUCCCGGUGUAGCAGUGAAAUGCGUAGAGAUCGGGAGGAACAUCAGUGGCGAAGGCGACUGCCUGGGCCAACACUGACACUGAGGCACGAAAGCGUGGGGAGCAAACA
This 426-nucleotide ribosomal RNA is filed under the name uncultured Lysobacteraceae bacterium. RNAcentral's name for it is "bacterial SSU rRNA". It matches the Rfam family "Bacterial small subunit ribosomal RNA", at positions 356 to 774 of the family's 1533-position model. Lineage: Bacteria; Pseudomonadati; Pseudomonadota; Gammaproteobacteria; Lysobacterales; Lysobacteraceae. The record is from RNAcentral.